UCCUGAGUUCUAACUCAUAAAUAAGUAGUG
RNAcentral lists this non-coding RNA (30 nucleotides) under Mus musculus (house mouse). The record is from RNAcentral. Lineage: Eukaryota; Metazoa; Chordata; Mammalia; Rodentia; Muridae.